GUCUUUUUGAGAUAAAUUAAAAGUCUGACCUGCCCACUGAAGUUUUAAAUGGCCGCAGUAUUUUAACUGUGCAAAGGUAGCAUAAUCAUUAGUCUUUUAAUUGAAGGCUGGAAUGAAUGGUUGGACGAAAUAUUAACUGUUUCAUUAGAAUUUAUAUUAGAAUUUUAUUUUUUAGUCAAAAAGCUAAAAUUUAAUUAAAAGACGAGAAGACCCUAUAAAUCUUUAUAUUAAGAUUUUUUUAAUUUUUUAGAUAAAUUUAAUUAUUAUAAUUAUUAAUAUUUUAUUGGGGUGAUAUUAAAAUUUAAAAAACUUUUAAUUUUAAAAACAUUGAUUUAUGAAUAAAUGAUCCAUUAUUAGUGAUUAAAAAUUUAAGUUACUUUAGGGAUAACAGCGUAAUUUUUUUAGAGAGUUCAUAUCGAUAAAAAAGAUUGCGACCUCGAUGUUGGAUUAAGAUAUAAUUUUGGGAGUAGUCAUUCAAAUUUUAAGUCUGUUCGACUUUUAAAUUCUU
This 508-nucleotide ribosomal RNA is filed under the name Stegana minuta. Its description in RNAcentral is "Stegana sp. RSF-2015 partial 16S ribosomal RNA". The stretch from base 384 to 508 matches the Rfam family "Bacterial large subunit ribosomal RNA", at positions 2473 to 2597 of the family's 2925-position model. Lineage: Eukaryota; Metazoa; Arthropoda; Insecta; Diptera; Drosophilidae. The record is from RNAcentral.